RNAcentral lists this ribosomal RNA (282 nucleotides) under Nicotiana attenuata. Its description in RNAcentral is "rRNA SSU_rRNA_eukarya". It matches the Rfam family "Eukaryotic small subunit ribosomal RNA", at positions 622 to 1113 of the family's 1831-position model. The record is from Rfam by way of RNAcentral. Lineage: Eukaryota; Viridiplantae; Streptophyta; Magnoliopsida; Solanales; Solanaceae.
AAGUUCCCAUAUCCUGAAUCAUUCUUUCCAAAAACUUUUAAAACACAACACACUUGACUUAAUAAACAACAUGUAGUUGUAAACUGAAUAUUGGAAACUGCAGUCCACUUAAUGCACUUUGGCCUUCAGAAUUUUUUUUUGGGUGGGGGAGGGAGGGAUUGGGGUCUCGAAGACGAUCAGAUACCGUCCUAAUUUCAACCAUAAACGAUAUCAACCAGGGAUCGACGGAUGUUGCCUUUAGGAUUCCGCUGGCAACUUAUGAGAAAUCAAAGUUUUUGGGUU